UCCGGUUGAUCCUGCCGGAGGUUACUGCUAUCCGAAUCCGAUUAAGACAUGCGAGUCGUUGCCCGCAAGGGCAAGGCGAACUGCUCAAUAAAACGUAGUCAACCUGCCCUUAGGACGGGGAUAAGCCUGGGAAACUGGGGCUAAUACCCGAUAGUUGCCAAAAUCUGGAAUGAUUUGGCGACCAAAGCUUCGGUGCCUAAGGAUGGGACUGCGGCCGAUCAGGCUGUUGUGAGUGUAAUGUACUCACAAACCUAUAACCGGUGGGGGCCAUGAAAGUGGGAGCCCCGAGAUGGAUUCUGAGACAUUAAUCCAGGUCCUACGGGACGCAGCAGUUACGGAACCUCCACAAUGCGCGCAAGCGUGAUGGGGGGAUUCGGAGUGUUGCAGUUUUUAACUGCAACUUUUGGCGAGGUUAGUGCCCUCGCAGAAUAAGUGGUGGGUAAGACGGGUGCCAGCCGCCGCGGUAAUACCCGCGCCACGAGUGGUAAUCGUGAUUAUUGGGCCUAAAGAG
RNAcentral lists this ribosomal RNA (511 nucleotides) under uncultured archaeon. RNAcentral describes it as "bacterial SSU rRNA". It matches the Rfam family "Archaeal small subunit ribosomal RNA", at positions 1 to 517 of the family's 1478-position model. The record is from RNAcentral.